CUACGGGACGCACCAGUGAGGAAUAUUGCACAAUGGGGGAAACCCUGAUGCAGCAACGCCGCGUGGAGGAUGACGCAUUUCGGUGUGUAAACUCCUUUUAUCAGAGAAGAAAAUGACGGUAUCUGAUGAAUAAGCUCCGGCUAACUCCGUGCCAGCAGCCGCGGUAAUACGGAGGGAGCAAGCGUUAUUCGGAAUCACUGGGCGUAAAGGACGCGUAGGCGGGUUUUUAAGUCAGGUGUGAAAUCCUAUGGCUCAACCAUAGAACUGCACUUGAAACUGGGGACCUAGAGUAUGGAAGGGGCAGGUGGAAUUAGUGGUGUAGGGGUAAAAUCCGUAGAUAUCACUAGGAAUACCGAAAGCGAAGGCGACCUGCUGGGACAUUACUGACGCUGAGGCGUGAAAGCGUGGGGAGCAAACAGGAUUAGAUACCGCGUAGUC
RNAcentral lists this ribosomal RNA (438 nucleotides) under uncultured bacterium. RNAcentral describes it as "partial 16S ribosomal RNA". It matches the Rfam family "Bacterial small subunit ribosomal RNA", at positions 339 to 795 of the family's 1533-position model. The record is from RNAcentral.